This is a non-coding RNA of Podarcis muralis (Common wall lizard), 431 nucleotides long. NCBI's taxonomy places the organism in Eukaryota, Metazoa, Chordata, Lepidosauria, Squamata, Lacertidae. The record is from RefSeq and is a predicted model, not a curated record.
CCUCCCAGAAUGGACCCUUUUGCCUCCAGGCCUUCCCCGCAAUCUUGUGACUCUUCCCUCUGCCACCCGCAGCUUUGAAAACUUUGGUCUUUGCUUCCCUGCAAGGCCAGGAAGUGUAGGCUGGCGGUUGAGCUUGUACGCCCAUUCAUGUUUACUCCCGAUGUGUUCAGUGGGGCUUACUCCCAGGAAUAGUGGAGGCAGGGGGAGAACGAGAGCCGCUGUCGGUCUGAAGUGCUGGCUUCCAUCUAGGCUGCCAAACCAGAGGCAGAUCUCCAGGCUAUUUUAAAAGUGCUUUCAGCCCAUGGCUAGAUCUUGCGCAUGCCAAGUUCUGAAGGAGAGGCACACCUAUUGACAGACAGUGCAAGUCCUGUAAGGGAAGCAAAAGGUCGUCCAACUUGGAAUGGAGAAAUCUCACAGCAGACCUUGGGGCA